CCGAGUUCAUGCCCUUCGGGGUAGACCUCCCACCCUGUGUUAUCAUUACCUCUGUUGCUUUGGCGGGCCGCUAGGCCUCGGCCUAGCUACCGGCUCCCGCUGGUAAGUGCCCGCCAGAGGACCCCAAACCCUGAAUAUUAGUGUCGUCCGAGUACUAUAUAAUAGUUA
RNAcentral lists this unclassified non-coding RNA (168 nucleotides) under uncultured Leptodontidium. Its description in RNAcentral is "sequence contains ITS1". Lineage: Eukaryota; Fungi; Ascomycota. The record is from RNAcentral.